Molecule: RNA transcript, 885 nt
Organism: Nycticebus coucang (slow loris)
Lineage: Eukaryota; Metazoa; Chordata; Mammalia; Primates; Lorisidae
Gene name: 39S ribosomal protein L15, mitochondrial-like
Exons: 1
Source: RefSeq, a predicted model, not a curated record
AUGGCAGGUCUGGUACACGGCAGUGGGGCCAGGGCUAUGGAUCUGCUGUGGGCCCUGCCUCGUGUAAUCCUGGCCAAUUUGAAGCCAAAUCCCGGCUCCAGGAAACCGAAGAGAUGACCAAGAGGUCAGAGAAGAGGUAGAAAGUUGGCAGAGGCCAUAAAGGAGAAAGGCAGAGAGGAACCCGGCCCCACCUGGCUUUGAGGGAGGCCAGACUCCAUUUUACAUCUGAAUACCAAAGUAUAGGUUUAAUGAAGGACAUAGCUUCAGAUGCCAGUAUCAGCCUCUGACUCUCAACAGACUGCAGUAUCUUAUUGACUUGGGUCGAGUUGAUCCUACUCAACCUAUUGACUUAACCCAGCUUGUCAAUGGGAGAGGUAUGACCACUCAGCCUCUUAAAAGGGAUUAUGGUGUCCAGCUGAUGGAGGAAGGUGCUGACACCUUUAAGACAAAAGUUAAUAUUGAAGUACAGUUGGCUUCAGAACUAGCUAUUGCUGCAAUUGAAAAAAAAGGUGGUGUUGUUACUACAGCCUUCUAUGAUCCCAGGAGUCUGGAAAUUCUAUGCAAACCUAUUCCAUUCUUUCUUCGUGGACAGCCUAUUCCAAAACGAAUGCUUCCACCUGAAGCGCUGGUACCCUAUUACACUGAUGCAAAGAAUCGUGGUUACCUGGAAAACCCUGCCAAAUUUCCUGAAGCAAGGCUUGAACUUGCUAAGAAGUAUGGUUAUAUUUUACCUGACAUCACUAAAGAUGAACUCUUCAAGAUGCUCAAUGCUCGAAAGGAUGCAAAGCAGAUUUUCUUUGGUCUUGCUCCAGGAUGGUGAACAUGGCAGAUAAGAAAAUACUAAAACCCACAGAUGAGAAUCUCAUCAAGUAUUACAGCUCCUGA